AGGACACCAACCCAUCAGGUUCAGACAUUUGGUGCCUGUGCUUGGCUGAGGAGCCAAUGGUGCGAAGCUACCAUCUGUGGGAUAAUGACUGAACGCCUCUAAGUCAGAAUCCCGCCU
This 117-nucleotide non-coding RNA is filed under the name Lepisosteus oculatus (spotted gar). RNAcentral describes it as "Eukaryotic large subunit ribosomal RNA". It matches the Rfam family "Eukaryotic large subunit ribosomal RNA", at positions 3034 to 3148 of the family's 3401-position model. The record is from Rfam by way of RNAcentral. Lineage: Eukaryota; Metazoa; Chordata; Actinopteri; Semionotiformes; Lepisosteidae.